RNAcentral lists this long non-coding RNA (120 nucleotides) under Vulpes vulpes (red fox). RNAcentral's name for it is "Nuclear enriched abundant transcript 1 conserved region 1 (ENSVVUG00000011638.1)". It matches the Rfam family "Nuclear enriched abundant transcript 1 conserved region 1". The record is from RNAcentral. Lineage: Eukaryota; Metazoa; Chordata; Mammalia; Carnivora; Canidae.
CCAGCAGCCCCCCUUUUUUUUCAAAGGAUUGCAAACCCAUGUAGGGAUGAGGCCUGGUCUUAUGGAAACUGAACUUAGCUUCACGGGUAUAUAUAAUUAUGGUUCAGCCUGAGACAAGGU